Molecule: ribosomal RNA, 745 nt
Filed under: uncultured bacterium
Lineage: Bacteria
Description: bacterial SSU rRNA
Rfam family: Bacterial small subunit ribosomal RNA
Source: RNAcentral
ACGCUGGCGGCGGGCCUAACACAUGCAAGUCGAGCGGUAGAGAGAAGCUUGCUUCUCUUGAGAGCGGCGGACGGGUGAGUAAUGCCUAGGAAUCUGCCUGGUAGUGGGGGAUAACGUUCGGAAACGGACGCUAAUACCGCAUACGUCCUACGGGAGAAAGCAGGGGACCUUCGGGCCUUGCGCUAUCAGAUGAGCCUAGGUCGGAUUAGCUAGUUGGUGGGGUAAUGGCUCACCAAGGCGACGAUCCGUAACUGGUCUGAGAGGAUGAUCAGUCACACUGGAACUGAGACACGGUCCAGACUCCUACGGGAGGCAGCAGUGGGGAAUAUUGGACAAUGGGCGAAAGCCUGAUCCAGCCAUGCCGCGUGUGUGAAGAAGGUCUUCGGAUUGUAAAGCACUUUAAGUUGGGAGGAAGGGCUGUAGAUUAAUACUCUGCAAUUUUGACGUUACCGACAGAAUAAGCACCGGCUAACUCUGUGCCAGCAGCCGCGGUAAUACAGAGGGUGCAAGCGUUAAUCGGAAUUACUGGGCGUAAAGCGCGCGUAGGUGGUUUGUUAAGUUGGAUGUGAAAUCCCCGGGCUCAACCUGGGAACUGCAUUCAAAACUGACUGACUAGAGUAUGGUAGAGGGUGGUGGAAUUUCCUGUGUAGCGGUGAAAUGCGUAGAUAUAGGAAGGAACACCAGUGGCGAAGGCAGGUCUCUGGGCAUUAACUGACGCUGAGGAGCGAAAGCAUGGGGAGCGAAC